Long non-coding RNA from Lagopus muta (rock ptarmigan), 2586 nucleotides. RefSeq lists it as uncharacterized. The record is from RefSeq and is a predicted model, not a curated record. Lineage: Eukaryota; Metazoa; Chordata; Aves; Galliformes; Phasianidae. The transcript is spliced from 3 exons.
CUGAUUGUUAGUGGGGAAGGGUCUCUUUCUGGAGAUUCCUCCUUUUGGAGUUUUCUACUGCAAGCCCAGGAUGUGGAAUUACACUUCUGCAUUUUCUCCUGGUGCCACUCUGCAUUUCUGGAACUUGGCAGCUCCUUCUACUUGCUGACACCUGCAAUGCUUGGCCCCUGAUUGGCAGGCACUGAGCACCUUCCCAGUUCUUCACUGAAGAAUGAGGAACUGAACCACCUCUCAUAUCUGAAAAAGUACCACGGAUACAUAUGGCUCCCUUGACUUCAUCUGUAUUUAUGGCUGCCCAGCAUCUCGAAAAAACCAACCGCUACAGUGGCGUUUAUGUCUUGUAGACAAAAGCCAGAGAACUCCAGGCUGUUUAGCCCCCUCCAGGAGAUCAUAAAUGCAGAACAGCAUCUGUGGGUAAUCAUGUCCUUUUUUCCUGAGUAGCCAUACAUGUGCUGCUGCUUGAACUGGAAGAAAUGUGAAGAGAACAGAAUCAGCUACCCUCUGAAUCCUUUUUCAAACAAACAUUUCAAAAACAGACAAUUAUGUUUUAUUUCUUGUUGCAGAGGAAAUAAAACUCUUCCAAUAUGAAGAACAGAAUAUAAACUCACUGGUGGUGAUGGGGGGAAAUUCCUCAGCAGUCUCUUUCAGAAAAAAAUAAAGGAAGAAAAGGAAAAGCAAGAAAGAGAGAAAAGAAGAGAAAAAGCAAAAGAAAAAAAAGAGAGAAAAAGAGAGGAGGAAAGAGAGAGAGAAAGAAGAAAAGAAAAAGAGACAACAAGAAAGAGAGAGAAGGAAAGAGAAAGAAGACAGGAAAGAGAAAGGAAGGAAGAACUCAAAGCCAGCGUCAAAUGCAGGUCUCCAAAGCAUAUGUUGAUUUUACUCUACAAAGUCACUUUUAAUCCCCUAGUCCCUCGUUUCUACUCCCCAAGAGGAAUCAAACCGAACAGAGAACAGCUUACAUUGUCAAGACCUGGGAGCUCGUUGUAAGAAUAACUAGUUCUUGACAUUUGAAAUUACUCUGGUUCAAACAUUUUUUGAUCUUUCCUAUUAGCCCUGUGUCUCGAGAAAUAAAAAUAUGAUAAUCAGAAAGUACAUAAUUGGGUUCAGGGAAUUCUGUGGACCCUCACUGGCUCUGGAGAUAAAGGCACUUUGAAAGAUUAUGCAGAGAUACCUAGAAUUUAUUCUGCACAGACUAUGAAAUGACAGAUCUUUUUUCUUAAUUAUACUGGCUAUAUCAGACUAACACCUGUAAUUAACCAUUCUGUCCUGAGAAAUCUCUUUUGAUAUGCUUUAUUGUUCCACCAGAGAUAUGGCAAAGCAGCACAUGAAUAUAAGGAUAUUUAUUACUGCAAACUCGAAGGCUAAUGCUUGUCACCAUGCUGAUUCUUGGUCUCCACCACAUCUCCACCACCCCUGGGCUUUGAGGCACUAUCCAUAGGAGAUGCUGCUGCACUUUGAAGCAGUACGGACUGGAAGCUGCAGGUUUACAAGGUACUGGACCCAACUACAUGUGCAUUAGCCAGCCCAUGCAACUUCUAAUAAGACAUUUUUGGGAGGGUCAGUCAUGUGCACUCUACAGCUCUCAGCACUGCCACUUGAAAGCCGCUCCCGUUCCCGGCUGCCCACCCACCACCAGCUCCUCUUCAGACCUCUACGAGUACCCUUGCUGCUGCAAUGAAUCACGCUACAGAGGGCUUUCCACCAGCCAGGUUUAUUGAGCUUUAUUAUAGGAAAAUAUAUCUCAGAUGGCCCAGCUGCAGCCAAAACAAUCUGUCACUUUUAAUUCUUUCUGUCACCUCAUUUGGAGUACAGCUAGAAUGACAGUAAAAAAUAAAUAAAUAAAGAAAUAAAAAACAAAGCAAGAACAACAACAACAAAAUAAUAGCUACAGCAAAACCCAAAAUACAUUUCCUCAGCUCCUGAUUAGAUUUUAACAUAAACACCAACACCAAAAGAUUCAUUGACAAAACAUAUGUGACUCAGUGUCGUAUACAACAGAGUGACAUGUAGAAUGGUCUCAGUAGGCAUAUAAAGCAAUUAAAAAUAACUGUGCUUCAAAGCAUUGUAUUAUAGCAUAAAAGGUCAUCCCUAUAAACACGGAAAGGAUGAUUGUGUUUUUUCCAGCAAACAGGCAAACAAAUGCUUAACUAGAGGUUCCAUUCUCACAAGGGAUUCUUUAAAAAUCUCUGAAAAUAUGAUAUAUCCUGUAUCAUUCUCCCUCAGUCUACGUCUGAAAGUAGUUAAUAUUUUAAAUGAAUGUAAUCGGAAAUAAUAUCAAGGCUAAUGACACGUUAGAAAACAAUACUGUACUAAACACAAAAUAUUUGCCCUGUGCAUACAUACGACAGAAAAGGAAACCCUGGAUAAUCAUCUGUGAAAAUGAAACGUCUAUUUUUAACUCCUAAAGCUUGCUUGUUUUCAUAUUAAUGCAUCGAAGUUGUAUUCCAAUGGAAGCUGCAUAGAGUACAUUUUGAGGAUUCUGAUAAUUUUUGCAGUAACACUCUGAGUUUGUGAUAAUAAUAUUUAUGCACAGAUGUAAGGAAUGUGCUGACAGAUUAAAAAGGAGUCAGUCAGUGUUUGCACGGCAUU